This 365-nucleotide ribosomal RNA is filed under the name uncultured Desulfovibrio sp. RNAcentral's name for it is "bacterial SSU rRNA". It matches the Rfam family "Bacterial small subunit ribosomal RNA", at positions 1018 to 1382 of the family's 1533-position model. Lineage: Bacteria; Pseudomonadati; Thermodesulfobacteriota; Desulfovibrionia; Desulfovibrionales; Desulfovibrionaceae. The record is from RNAcentral.
AGCAUAAAGAACCCGGUGACAGGUGCUGCAUGGCUGUCGUCAGCUCGUGUCGUGAGAUGUUGGGUUAAGUCCCGCAACGAGCGCGACCCUCGCCUUUAGUUGCCAGCAUUCAGUUGGGCACUCUAGAGGGACUGCCGGUGUCAAACCGGAGGAAGGUGGGGAUGACGUCAAGUCCUCAUGGCCUUUAUGUCUAGGGCUACACACGUACUACAAUGGCCGGUACAAAGGGCAGCCACUCAGCGAUGAGGCGCUAAUCCCAUAAAGCCGGUCUCAGUCCGGAUCGCAGUCUGCAACUCGACUGCGUGAAGUUGGAAUCGCUAGUAAUCGUAGAUCAGCAUGCUACGGUGAAUACGUUCCCGGGCCUU